UACGGAGGGUGCAAGCGUUAAUCGGAAUUACUGGGCGUAAAGCGUGCGCAGGCGGUUUGUUAAGUCUGUUGUGAAAUCCCUGAGCUCAACUUGGGAAUUGCAAUGGAUACUGGCAGGCUCGAGUAUGGUAGAGGAAGGUGGAAUUCCCGGUGUAGCAGUGAAAUGCGUAGAGAUCGGGAGGAACACCAGUGGCGAAGGCGGCCUUCUGGACCAAUACUGACGCUCAUGCACGAAAGCGUGGGGAGCAAACAGG
RNAcentral lists this ribosomal RNA (253 nucleotides) under uncultured bacterium. RNAcentral describes it as "partial 16S ribosomal RNA". It matches the Rfam family "Bacterial small subunit ribosomal RNA", at positions 524 to 776 of the family's 1533-position model. The record is from RNAcentral.